RNAcentral lists this ribosomal RNA (502 nucleotides) under uncultured bacterium. Its description in RNAcentral is "bacterial SSU rRNA". It matches the Rfam family "Bacterial small subunit ribosomal RNA", at positions 791 to 1299 of the family's 1533-position model. The record is from RNAcentral.
UAGUCCACGCCGUAAACGAUAGUCACUAGCUGUUCGGACUUCGGUCUGAGUGGCUAAGCGAAAGUGAUAAGUAUCCCACCUGGGGAGUACGUUCGCAAGAAUGAAACUCAAAGGAAUUGACGGGGGCCCGCACAAGCGGUGGAGCAUGUGGUUUAAUUCGAUGAUACGCGAGGAACCUUACCAGGGCUUAAAUGCAGAGUGACAGAUCUAGAAAUAGAUUUUUCUUCGGACACUCUACAAGGUGCUGCAUGGUUGUCGUCAGCUCGUGCCGUGAGGUGUCAGGUUAAGUCCUAUAACGAGCGCAACCCCUAUUGUUAGUUGCCAGCGGGUCAUGCCGGGAACUCUAACAAGACUGCCGGUGCAAACCGUGAGGAAGGUGGGGAUGACGUCAAAUCAUCACGGUCCUUACGUCCUGGGCUACACACGUGCUACAAUGGCCGGUACAGAGAGCAGCCACUGCGCGAGCAGGAGCGAAUCUUCAAAGCCGGUCACAGUUCGGAUC